GGGCAAUUAGUGAGGCUAUAAAGUUAAUGUCAGCUUGAACUAAUUUUCUGGACAUUGUAUCUACAGUUUACUGUGUUAGGUUAUGUCAGCACAGCUGUAGAAUUCAAAUCCAAACGUGGGUUUUUGUGUGCAUGUCCAGCAAACUUUAGGGAUGGAAAGUGAAGUAGUCUUUGCCUUAGCUAGUUCAUCUGUUGCUUUUGCUGUCUUAAGAUUUCCUGGGAUUUACUUAUUUACUGAUCCACUGCCUUGUUCCCAAAUGGACUGGAAGCCACUCUGAUGCACUGGAAACUGCUCGCACCAGCCUUCAAGAACCAAUUGUUACAUCAUUAGGAACUUUCUUCUUGUACGAAGUAAGAUGUCAGGGAGGAGGUAGAGGAAGAACAGGAAUUCAGAGCAAUAUCUGGCAAAUAAAGGGCAGUUACAGCUACAGUUGGAAUAAAUGCAGAUGCUGCAAAUUGAUGGAGGCCUGGUGUCUUCCAGAGUUGAGAUAAAGGCUGGCUGAGGAAUCAGUGAGGCCAGGAAGAGGGCUCAGCUGAGCAACUGAUCAAAGUGAGCUGCUUCUGUCAACAACUGAUUUACGGGGAAGAGAGUUAAGAUUAAGAGAAAAAAGUGAAAAAUGCCUAUAGUUAGUGAAUCUGAAUUGGUUUUGUCUGCAUUCCAGGCAUCCCUCUUCAGGAAGGAGCUUCCUGUGUUUUCUCUGGGGACUCACCUGUUUUCCACUCCAGAUUUAAUACAGAAGAGAUGGUUGCUGCUGCUGCUGAUGACGGUAGGAAUUGAUGAGCAUCUUACCACUGAAUCCAGAAGUCAUCUCCUUUAAGGAACCGACCCAGAGCCUAAACCAAUGGGCAAGUCAGCUUACGAAGAACUGUUCAGAUAUUCAGACUAUUAUUCUGGGAGAGAAAAUAUUGGCAGAGAACAGAUGGGAUUUUCUCAAGGAAAAGAAAAUCCUACAUCUUGCAAGAAAUAGAAAAAAAUAAAUAAACUGUUUGAAGAAGAAGCACACCAGGAUGGCAGGAGAGAGCCUGCGGCUGGGCGUCUGACCCGGAAUGUUAAAGCCAGCCUGGCUGGACUCCAGGACGAAGGACACUCUGCCAGCCUCUCCAUAUCGAUUCCUCUCCCCAGUCCCAAGAUCAGGGGAGCAUUCUGUUCCUUGAAGCAUUUUGUGACUAUAAGUCAGAAGUGCUGCAGUUUUAAUAAAGAGCUGUAUUGUCCUGAUCUUGUGCAAUAU
Molecule: long non-coding RNA, 1228 nt
Filed under: Rhinopithecus bieti (black snub-nosed monkey)
Lineage: Eukaryota; Metazoa; Chordata; Mammalia; Primates; Cercopithecidae
Description: lncRNA (ENSRBIG00000046526.1)
Source: RNAcentral